RNAcentral lists this ribosomal RNA (520 nucleotides) under uncultured Diversispora. RNAcentral describes it as "SSU rRNA". It matches the Rfam family "Eukaryotic small subunit ribosomal RNA", at positions 569 to 1087 of the family's 1831-position model. Lineage: Eukaryota; Fungi; Glomeromycota; Glomeromycetes; Diversisporales; Diversisporaceae. The record is from RNAcentral.
AGCAGCCGCGGUAAUUCCAGCUCCAAUAGCGUAUAUUAAAGUUGUUGCAGUUAAAAAGCUCGUAGUUGAACUUCGGGGUUUACCCAUUGGUCAGGCUUAAUUGUCUGUACUGGUGAGAUAAAUCUCUACCUUCUGAGGAACUUUCAUGUCAUUAAUUUGGUGUGAUUGGAAAUCAGGACUGUUACUUUGAAAAAAUUAGAGUGUUUAAAGCAGGCUAACGUCUGAAUACAUUAGCAUGGAGUAAUGAAAUAGGACGGACUGAUUCUAUUUCGUUGGUUUCUAGGAUCACCGUAAUGAUUAAUAGGGAUAGUUGGGGGCAUUAGUAUUCAAUUGUCAGAGGUGAAAUUCUUGGAUUUAUUGAAGACUAACUACUGCGAAAGCAUUUGCCAAGGAUGUUUUCAUUAAUCAGGAACGAAAGUUAGGGGAUCGAAGACGAUCAGAUACCGUCGUAGUCUUAACCAUAAACUAUGCCGACUAGGGAUCGGACGAAGUUAAUUUUAUAAUUGACGCGUUCGGCACC